Molecule: long non-coding RNA, 852 nt
Organism: Ictidomys tridecemlineatus (thirteen-lined ground squirrel)
Lineage: Eukaryota; Metazoa; Chordata; Mammalia; Rodentia; Sciuridae
Source: RefSeq, a predicted model, not a curated record
UGGACUUCUAGUACUUCUCCUAGUACUUCUAUUUACACACCGUAUCUAGGCGCAGAUCCCUCACUCUCACACAGUCAGUGGGUCUGCUUCUCUCUGAUGACUUGUGAGGACCCUCUCAUCCAGGGCCUGGCCCCCUGAGGCCCUCCUUUGUAUGGCCAGUUAGACCCUUUCCCCAGAUUUCUGUUGAGGGGCUCAUCUUUUUCUUCUUUGCUAAGAAAACUCUGACACUGUCUCCCCCUCAGCGCUGGGGACGGACCAGGGCCUCCCACAUCUGGGACUGGAACUCUGCCUGCUGCACCCCAGCCCUCGAGGACCAACUCCCCGUCCUGUGCCCGAGCGAAGCAUGGAAAAAGAUGAAUCGCCACACACAUGGAAAAAGACGAAUUGCACAUAUUUACGAGGAGAGCCUAGGAUUGUCUUGCUUCUGAUUCUUUGUAAGUUAUGUAACAAAUUGUUAUAAACCGUGGACAUCCCGCUGGGCUGAAGAUGUAAUUCUUCCCAUCUGACUUAUGUUUUUCUUCUUUGGAUGGUACUGGAGAUGGAAACCAGGGCCUUGUGCAUGGUGGGCAAGUGCUCUACCGCUGAGCCAUAUCCCAGUCCUUUUAAUUUUAUUUUAAGACAAGGUCUUGAUAAAUUGCAGAGGCUGACUGGAACUUUCAAUCCUCCUGCCUCAGCUUCCCAAGUGGCUGAGAUUACAGGAGUGGGCCACGGUGGUACCCAGUGAGAUUUCAUUCUUUUCGUGGCUGUGUGGAUGUACCACAUUUAAUCCCUUCAUCCACGGAUGAACACCUGGGGUUGACUGCAUACCCUGGCUACUUGUGAACAGUGCAGCAAUAAACACAGCAUAAAGUA